This 879-nucleotide ribosomal RNA is filed under the name uncultured bacterium. RNAcentral's name for it is "bacterial SSU rRNA". It matches the Rfam family "Bacterial small subunit ribosomal RNA", at positions 8 to 885 of the family's 1533-position model. The record is from RNAcentral.
AGAGUUUGAUCCUGGCUCAGGACGAACGCUGGCGGCGUGCUUAACACAUGCAAGUCGAACGAGAAUCUGUGGAAAGAGGAUUCGUCCAAUUGAAACAGAGGACAGUGGCGGACGGGUGAGUAACGCGUGAGGAACCUGCCUUUCAGAGGGGGACAACAGUUGGAAACGACUGCUAAUACCGCAUGACACAUUGAGGUCGCAUGGCCUUAAUGUCAAAGAUUUAUCGCUGAAAGAUGGCCUCGCGUCUGAUUAGCUAGUUGGUGAGGUAACGGCCCACCAAGGCGACGAUCAGUAGCCGGACUGAGAGGUUGAACGGCCACAUUGGGACUGAGAUACGGCCCAGACUCCUACGGGAGGCAGCAGUGGGGAAUAUUGGGCAAUGGGCGCAAGCCUGACCCAGCAACGCCGCGUGAAGGAAGAAGGCUUUCGGGUUGUAAACUUCUUUUGUCAGGGACGAGUAGAAGACGGUACCUGACGAAUAAGCCACGGCUAACUACGUGCCAGCAGCCGCGGUAAUACGUAGGUGGCAAGCGUUGUCCGGAUUUAAUAAAAAGUAAAGGGCGUGUAGCCGGGAGGGCAAGUCAGAUGUGAAAUCCACGGGCUUAACUCGUGAACUGCAUUUGAAACUGUUCUUCUUGAGUAUCGGAGAGGCAAUCGGAAUUCCUAGUGUAGCGGUGAAAUGCGUAGAUAUUAGGAGGAACACCAGUGGCGAAGGCGGAUUGCUGGACGACAACUGACGGUGAGGCGCGAAAGCGUGGGGAGCAAACAGGAUUAGAUACCCUGGUAGUCCACGCUGUAAACGAUGAAUACUAGGUGUGCGGGGACUCACCCCCUGCGUGCCGCAGUUACCCCCUAUUCUAUUCCACCUGGGGAGUACGA